Hibiscus syriacus is the source of this 152-nucleotide long non-coding RNA. RefSeq lists it as uncharacterized. The record is from RefSeq and is a predicted model, not a curated record. The transcript has 3 exons. NCBI's taxonomy places the organism in Eukaryota, Viridiplantae, Streptophyta, Magnoliopsida, Malvales, Malvaceae.
GUUUGUUUGUGGGAGUUUAGUUCUUUAACAUUUCUCAGGAAUGCACCAAACUGCUCAUAAGACAAGCGGCUCCUGAUGAAACAAGUUUAUGGGUGAGACGAAGCUAGGCAAAACCUCAAAGCUGGUAAUAUAAAUUGAGAAUCAUGAACAAG